UUACGUGUUUAGUUUCCGAACGUGUGUGUCGGGUGUGAUUUUACUUGUUUCGGUGGUAAACCCCGUUUGGGCCUUCUCGCUAUCGCGGGGUGUUAUCCGAACAAGCUACUUGGUUCAAAAUCCGUUAGUGUGAGUGUGCGAUAUAUCUUGCUCGACUUCGACUCCGUCUUUUCAAAACUCACUCAUCACUCGAUCUUAUUAAAAUCAACAACUUAUAUUUCUCCACGCAAUAUAAUUUGUUAAAAUUGAACCAACGAUUUAAACCACCAUACUAAAACGUUAUUAUCGACAAAUCUCAACGUGGUUAAAAUUGGACUAAAACUUGCGGAACCAAAACUUUUAUAAAACAAGGAUAUAUUUGUUUGUGGAUAUUGUGUUCUAACUUUUGCAGUGAGGUGAAGUGAAGUGAGGUGAUCUUCGUUCUAAGACCCAAGUCUUUGACGUAUUGACGGGGAGUUGAUAGUCAUCGCACCGUGAGGAAGAGGAAAGACCCAAUACCUAAUACCUAAGAUCCAAGACCGGCGAAAGGUUUAGAAGUACAAAGACCACUGGAGGUGCAACGACUUUGAGGAAGUAACGAGGAUAGUUACGUUCCGAGACAAGUCUUGUUAUUUACAUUUAUAGUGAGGAGGUAACGAAGAGUUACGCUCCAAGAUAUAUAUUUGUAAAGGCUUCUCCGCCUACUGUAAAGGAGUUCUUU
This 700-nucleotide long non-coding RNA is filed under the name Daucus carota (carrot). Its description in RNAcentral is "long non-coding RNA (DCAR_LNC006750)". Lineage: Eukaryota; Viridiplantae; Streptophyta; Magnoliopsida; Apiales; Apiaceae. The record is from RNAcentral.